GAUGAACGCUGGCGGCGUGCCUAAUACAUGCAAGUCGAGCGAAAGGACGAUAAGCUUGCUUCUCUGCUGUUAGCGGCGGACGGGCGAGUAACACGUAGAUAACAAACCUCUAAGACUGGGAUAACUACGGGAAACCAGAGAUAAUACUGGCUAAUAUUUUGAACCGCAUGGAUCAAAAGUGAAUGACGGUCUUGCUGUCACUUAUAGAUGGAUCCGCGCUGGAUUAGCUAGUUGGUAAGGUAACGGCUUACCAAGGCAACGAUGCAUAGCCGACCUGAGAGGGUGAUCAGCCACACUGGAACUGAGACACGGUCCAGACUCCUACGGGAGGCAGCAGUAGGGAAUCUUGCGCAAUGGGCGAAAGCCUGACGGAGCAACGCCGCGUGAGUGAUGAAGGUCUUCGGAUCGUAAAGCUCUGUUAUUAGGGAAGAAAAUAUGUGUAAGUAACUGUGCACAUCUUGACGGUACCUAAUCAGAAAGCCACGGCUAACUUCGUG
Molecule: ribosomal RNA, 497 nt
Filed under: uncultured bacterium
Lineage: Bacteria
Description: partial 16S ribosomal RNA
Rfam family: Bacterial small subunit ribosomal RNA
Source: RNAcentral